Long non-coding RNA from Ipomoea nil (Japanese morning glory), 706 nucleotides. RefSeq lists it as uncharacterized. Lineage: Eukaryota; Viridiplantae; Streptophyta; Magnoliopsida; Solanales; Convolvulaceae. The transcript is spliced from 4 exons. The record is from RefSeq and is a predicted model, not a curated record.
UCCUUAGCUUCACCGCCAUCUUUGCUUCUUCCUUCACCACUUCACCAUCUUCUUCGUACGGUCGUCUCAUUCAGCCCUUCAUUCGCCGUCAUCUUCUUAGUUCACGAUGUACCAGCAGCAGCUCCAGCAAGGCAGCAGCAGCAACUCCGGCGUAGCUUCGCGACUCCGACAACGACGACGUAGAUCUACGUUCUCCGGCGACGAGCAAGCUUCCAGCUUGGAGUGGCGACGAGUUUCCGGCGACCACGAUAGUAGUUCCGGCGGUGGAGGUUACGUUCGACGUGCGGCGGCUCUGCUUCGAUCUACAGACUACUACAUGAGCGUAAAGUGGCAAAAGGAGGUGUUUCCUGCCGUGGAAAUUGAUACUAGCCAGCCUCCAUGUCUUCAAAUGCCAGCUAUUUGAUCUGACUGGGGUGCCACCUGAAAGGCAGAAGAUUAUGGUUAAAGGUGGUUUAUUGAAGGAUGAUGCAGAUUGGUCAAAACUGGCAGUGAAAGAGGGACAAAGGUUAAUGAUGAUGGGCACUGCUGAUGAAAUUGUCAAGGCUCCAGAAAAAAGCCCUGUGUUUGUUGAAGAUAUGCCAGAAGAGGAGCAAGUUAUUAAUGUGGUGAGUAUUUUGAAAUUUAUGUCACAUAUAAUUUGAUAGUUGGUGUAAAUACUGGAACUUUCAUGGAUGAUUUGAUCUGCUUAGGUCACUUAUCUCUCAUU